RNAcentral lists this long non-coding RNA (249 nucleotides) under Panax ginseng (ginseng). RNAcentral describes it as "long non-coding RNA (PGIN_LNC004760)". Lineage: Eukaryota; Viridiplantae; Streptophyta; Magnoliopsida; Apiales; Araliaceae. The record is from RNAcentral.
UUAGAAUUUAGUUGUUACUGUUUAGAAUCUGAUUGAUUGGAUCUGUUUUUUCUAACCCCUGCCCUCCAUUUUCGCCAGAACUCUCGCUGGUUCUUUUGGAUCUGGAUUGCGAGAGGUUUGAUGAUUUGUGUCCCUUUUUGUAUAGGGUGUUCUAUUUCGUCGGAGCAUUUUUUUGUCUGAGUUCUCGCCAGAUUCUGGUUUAGGAUUUCUUGCCAGAAUCUAGGUUCGGAAUGGGUCCUUUGUUUCCAG